GACUAUGACUUAGGACACUGCCUAUGCCCCCUCCCCCUAUUUUCUUUUGCAGAUACCCAGAUGGAAAAUGCUCCCCCCACCCAUUAUUUUCACAAUUCAGUGGGAUGACGAAUGACACAGCCAUCCAAGCAGAGAACCAAUGUUCCAUCUCUUUACCUGAGUUCCAAGGGAAGAGACUACGUGGAUAGAAUUCUGUAUCGGCAACUACAGCUGCAUCUUCUUAGAGAUAAUGAAGGACAGUUCUAGAACACAUCACUGAAACUCUUCUCAAUGGAUGCAACCUUGAUAUGGAAGCAAUGGGCACCCUCACAAAGUUCAGCUAGAAAGUCAAGUAUUCCUAGAAUACAUCAUCCUGCAGAGAAAAAUUUGUUUAAAGGCAGCAUUUUGCUCUGUGACCUCAGUUGCUGGAUGGAUCUAAGAAGAGUUGUUGGCUUUCAGAUUGCGUGGUGAUGACUUCCAAGCUCUUUACUUGUCAGAACUAAAAUUGACUUGUGUGUUAAACUACAAGUGGAGACAGAUGUGAAGUCAGCAUGCAAUGGAAGAAUGAGCUCCCGCAUUCAAACUGGGCGUGUAGGAGAAGCCGCUUUUAGUGAUAAGGCCAGUGAUUUAAACUAUGGGGCAGCCACCCCAAAUCUUUCUGGUAUUGAAGUCAGCGCUGGGAUGCAGGGUGCCCCUUUACUGAGGCCCUCUCACAGAUGAGGACCACCUACCAUAAAAUAGUCC
RNAcentral lists this long non-coding RNA (723 nucleotides) under Mustela putorius furo (domestic ferret). RNAcentral's name for it is "lncRNA (ENSMPUG00000031746.1)". The record is from RNAcentral. Lineage: Eukaryota; Metazoa; Chordata; Mammalia; Carnivora; Mustelidae.